Molecule: non-coding RNA, 2915 nt
Organism: Taeniopygia guttata (zebra finch)
Lineage: Eukaryota; Metazoa; Chordata; Aves; Passeriformes; Estrildidae
Source: RefSeq, a predicted model, not a curated record
GAAAUGAUCUUUGUUAAUUUUAGAUCUAGUUCUUCAAAGUGCCGAGUAGGCACAGCUAUUCCAGGUAGUUGGGCACAGUGGGGGUGUUCAAUCUUUGUGGGAUAUGGCUCUUGCUUACACAAUGAAGGCCAAGCCUGAUGAAUUACAUUUCCUUUGUGCCCUGCAGAGCAUGAGGCUGAUGCUCAGCAGGACUCCAGCCCAGAGCUGUGUAUCACUGCAGACUCAGAGCCAGAGCACCAGCUGCGAUACCUGGAAAGAGAAAAGCUCUUUCUCUUCAAGCAUCCUCUCCUUGGACUUGCUACUCCCCCCAGAUCAGUUGGAUUUUGGGUGCAGGGGCAGCUGGAGGAAAGCAAAGCAGCAUGUCCAGCACUGCCCUUCUACCCCUGCUGCCCUCUGACAGCCCAGCAAGAGCUGCUUCUGCCUGAGGAUCUGGAGAGGAUUCACUGGACAGCACAGACUGAGAAUCAGUGCAGUGGAGGGGGAUUAACAGUCCCUUGGAUCCACACUUUCACUUCAGCUUUAGUGAUAAAUUUCUAGACCAAAUGCUAGUAACGGAUUUCUCAGCGCUGACUUUCAGCUGCCCUUGUUGGACCAGCCAGGACGUACGAAGCAGGAGCCAGUUCCCUGUGGAUAUCCAGAUUUAGCUCUGAUCCCAAUUGUCUGGUGUGCCAGCAGCGGGUUAGACUAGUAACUUGUGCAGGGAGGGUUCUGGUUACAAAAUGCCUGGAAUGAAGCAAGCAGGUGCUGGGAAGGUUAACUGAGGGGAGCACGGCGUUAAUUCCCCAUCGCCUCUCGCUCCCCCCCGCCUGCCUCGGGAGCAGCGGGAUGGAUCUUCCACAGGUGAGGCUGUGCCGAGGGGCUGCCAGUCCCCGGUGAGCACGGCCACACCACAGAGCAGGGCUUAGAUCAGCUUUUAGCUCCCAAGGUUGUGUGGUGUAGAGGAGCCCCGUGAGCAGAGGGCUGAGUCACGGUGGUGGGCGCUGGGUUCCCGGGCUGGAGCAGUGAGUGGACAGCCUGACUCAGGGUGGGCGACAACACUCGGUGUCAAUGAGUCACAACAAUCGGUGCCGCUGUGGCUCUCAUGCUCUCAGGGCUUGCAUUUCAGAGCAGGAGGCUCGCUCUGGACAGCUGGGAUGGUUUCUUUCCCUGCUGCAGCGGGGCUCAGCUGUUCACACAGCGACCGCCAGUUUGCAGCUCGGGGAUGGGGAGUUCCUGAAAUCGGAACUGCCUUACCUUUCCUGCUGAGCUGUGAUUGGUGGUCCAGCAGCUGCUACAGGAGCAGCUGACCUGUCCCCUAAAAAACAAGGCAGAGGGGAUGAUAUGGAGGACAAAAAUCAGUACGGUUGCUCCAAGGUGAGUGUGGACCUCAGGAGCUUUUCAUCUGUGCAGAGUCCACACUCUGGAGAACCAUGUAGAAGUGGAACUGUGUUCUGCUGUGGCUGCAGUUUAUUUGAUUUAUUUAAGUGUAUUGCCUACUGGUGUAAGCUCCAACAGACACCUCUGGGUAUGUCUAAAAGGGUGUUUGACAUCACACCGGUUUAGAAACAAAACCUUUUCAAUAAAUCAGUGACAAACUGAUGAACCCAGCUGAUCCCAGCUUGCACUGAAAAAUGGAGGCUUGUGCUGCACGUUGUUGGACUGAAGUAACUGAACUACUUCACAUUUGCACUUGUGGAAGCCUGAAUGCAGGUAAGACAAAUAAACCCACCUUGAUGCUUCCUGUUACCUUUUACUUUUUGCCUUAAACAGGAUUACCAAGCCCACUGAAUAUAUCUGACCUAUUCUCAUCUUUAAAACACAUGGUUUUCUUCAAAACAUAACUUGCCAAAUGUGACUAUUUGAUGAUAAGACACUAUGCAGAGUUGGCUAUGAAUGUUUAUUAACAUCACAUGGAAAUGUGUACUCCAGAGAAGACAAACGGGGCUGUCACCAUACCUACAGAGUCCAGGGAACCAGAACAAGCGUUGUAGGCUUCUCCUUGGCAGCAGUUGCAUGGCUGAUGUUCUUCUUAAGUUUUCUUCCUAUACAGGAUCAGCUCAAGUAUCAACACCUUGUUAAUGAUUUAAGUAAAAAAAACCUUUAAGUUUAGUUAAGUUACUAUUGAUCUGGAUUGACUGAAAAGGCAGGAGAUGACCAGGAUGUGGGUUCUGACUUUGAAACACAGACAGUUCUGACAUUUUGCACCAGCAUUUUGUGGCAGGGGCCAGCGCUGCAGUUGCUGCUCUCCAGUGCCUGCACAGGUUACACCUUAGUUACUCAACCAAUAAUAAGCGAAAUUCAAACCAUUGCAUAAUCCAGUCAUUCUUACAAGCACAGUCAAGGGCAUCACAGUAAACAAAGGUUAUGGUUUCCAGAGACCCUUAAAAGCCGGGGCCAAAGAGCACAAUAAAUACAGUGGUGGAAGAGCACAGACGUGUCGGGCGUCAGGGCAGAGGAGGCAGUGGCCAUCUGUAUCACCGGAGAUGCAUCUUUUUCGUGUGAACCUCCAGAGCCCAGCAGUACUGUCUGAGAAGAGGCACGAGGAUGGAACAGGAGAGUAACAUUCAGCCUGGCAACAGCAUUUUCUCCUGCUUAAUUCUUCGAUUCUGGAAAACUUCAGUUGGCACGCACUGUUCACCCACAGAACAGGGCAUGGUAAGGACAGAGUAAGGGCUUAAACACUCUGCUGUUAUUGUCAAGGUUCUCAGACUAAAGACGACAAAUAAUACUGUAAGUUGAGGCAAGUUUUAUUUAGACUGUACAAAUGGCAUUGGGGAAAAAACACAGUGGCUUGAUGUUGGGACCAGUUCUAUGAAUUAAGUGGAGUAAGAAAUUAAAAAGGCACUAAUCUUAAGAAAAGACACUCUGUAAAUUCUAAGAAUAUAAUUCAUUUAAUACUGUUAAUCUUAUAGCACAAAAAAUAAAACAAGCUAUGA